RNAcentral lists this ribosomal RNA (465 nucleotides) under uncultured Klebsiella sp. RNAcentral describes it as "bacterial SSU rRNA". It matches the Rfam family "Bacterial small subunit ribosomal RNA", at positions 338 to 795 of the family's 1533-position model. The record is from RNAcentral. Lineage: Bacteria; Pseudomonadati; Pseudomonadota; Gammaproteobacteria; Enterobacterales; Enterobacteriaceae.
CCUACGGGAGGCAGCAGUGGGGAAUAUUGCACAAUGGGCGCAAGCCUGAUGCAGCCAUGCCGCGUGUGUGAAUAAGGCCUUCGGGUUGUAAAGCACUUUCAGCGGGGAGGAAGGCGGUGAGGUUAAUAACCUCAUCGAUUGACGUUACCCGCAGAAGAAGCACCGGCUAGCUCCGUGCCAGCAGCCGCGGUAAUACGGAGGGUGCAAGCGUUAAUCGGAAUUACUGGGCGUAAAGCGCACGCAGGCGGUCUGUCAAGUCGGAUGUGAAAUCCCCGGGCUCAACCUGGGAACUGCAUUCGAAACUGGCAGGCUAGAGUCUUGUAGAGGGGGGUAGAAUUCCAGGUGUAGCGGUGAAAUGCGUAGAGAUCUGGAGGAAUACCGGUGGCGAAGGCGGCCCCCUGGACAAAGACUGACGCUCAGGUGCGAAAGCGUGGGGAGCAAACAGGAUUAGAUACCCGUGUAGUC